GGAGGACAGAGAGAAAAACAGCAAACCAAAACCAUUUCUGAAUUUCUCUUGUGGAACCUUUGUUUCUGGAAUACUUGCAUGAUGAGGAUAUGUGGAAAAUGGAGUCAUGGAAUCUCUGAGUUAGAAGGUUAUCUGGUCCAGCCACCUCCUCUUCUUAAACUCUUGUACAAAAUCAAAACAUUAAAUGGGAUGGCUGAUGACUCUUUUCUUAAAGAACUUCAGUUCUUGGAUAGAUGCCAGCUUAGUCAGUCUGGGCUCAUAUUUGCAGUUGGUUGCUAAGAUUUUAACAUCCCAGUCAUUUGACAAAAGCUAACUUCAAAAGUAACUGUUACCUUUAUUAAGGUAUAGCAAAUGUGUUCAUUUGGAUGUUUACUGGGAAUUUUUGGUAUCUCAGUAGGGGGAAAACGCCCUCCUUGGCUGUGUUUCAGGGCUGGCUUCCUCUAGACUAGGAAGAGCCAAUUACUGUGGUAAACAGGGUCAUUUAUACAUCAGCAGUUUUCCUGUCAUCACCCCAUGCCAGCCUUGGGAAUACUGACCUUUGUGUAGCAUAGCAUGUUCUUGUCCUCAGUGAUCAAGCCAGACUCACUCCUUUCAUAUUAUGGAUAUGGAGAGAAAAGCUGACUCUGUAGCAACUGGUGUGAUACAGGAUUUUAAGGCACGUUUUGUUCACUUAAGCUAUAGUACUUUCCUUGGUGCCGUGUACUCUAAAUCACCCAUGCAGUUUCAUCUUGCAGUCAAGAGCAUGGAAGAUCCUUGCCUUUUCUGGAAGGAACAUUAGACAUGGGCACUUUAACACUCUGAAGAGAGCAGAUGCCUGCUCAAACCAAUGGAAUGCUCAACAAACUGAGUCCAGGAGAAGAAAUUGCUCCUGAGUGCUGACCUCAGGCCUCUAGUACUGGCUUUUCUAGGAGAUGACAGAAGAUAUGUGAAGAAGAACGGGAAUCAGAGGAGGGCACAGGCAGAGGAUGCUGACUACAUCAGUCAGGAAGAGGGCGAGGCUAACUUUACUUCUUUUUACUGCAGAUAGAGUCAUAAUAGACUCAUCAGAAAUAAUCAGAGGUGGAGGGGAGCAAUGUCAUCGUGGACAGGCUAUGGGGAAACAGUUACUGCUAGCAAUAGAGAGCAAUGGGACCACAGAGCCCAUGCCUCUGACCAUUGAUUGCCCUUCUGGUAAGUGCCAUGUCGCAGCA
RNAcentral lists this long non-coding RNA (1190 nucleotides) under Cricetulus griseus (Chinese hamster). RNAcentral describes it as "lncRNA (ENSCGRG00000025359.1)". Lineage: Eukaryota; Metazoa; Chordata; Mammalia; Rodentia; Cricetidae. The record is from RNAcentral.